GACGAACGCUGGCGGCGUGCCUAAUACAUGCAAGUCGAGCGAAUUUAUGGGAGCUUGCUCCCGUAAGUUAGCGGCGGACGGGUGAGUAACACGUGGGCAACCUGCCUAUAAGACUGGGAUAACUUCGGGAAACCGGAGGCUAAUACCGGAUAAUUCCUUUCCUCACAUGGGGAAAGGCGUGAAAGAUGGUUUACGCUAUCACUUAUAGAUGGGCCCGCGGCGCAUUAGCUAGUUGGGUAGGUAACGGCUCACCAAGGCAACGAUGCGUAGCCGACCUGAGAGGGUGA
Molecule: ribosomal RNA, 287 nt
Filed under: uncultured bacterium
Lineage: Bacteria
Description: partial 16S ribosomal RNA
Rfam family: Bacterial small subunit ribosomal RNA
Source: RNAcentral